This 542-nucleotide ribosomal RNA is filed under the name Botryosphaeria dothidea. RNAcentral's name for it is "eukaryotic LSU rRNA". The stretch from base 180 to 333 matches the Rfam family "5.8S ribosomal RNA". The record is from RNAcentral. Lineage: Eukaryota; Fungi; Ascomycota; Dothideomycetes; Botryosphaeriales; Botryosphaeriaceae.
UAAGAACUGAUUCGGGCUCGGCCGAUCCUCCCACCCUUUGUGUACCUACCUCUGUUGCUUUGGCGGGCCGCGGUCCUCCGCGGCCGCCCCCCUCCCCGGGGGGGUGGCCAGCGCCCGCCAGAGGACCAUCAAACUCCAGUCAGUAAACGAUGCAGUCUGAAAAACAUUUAAUAAACUAAAACUUUCAACAACGGAUCUCUUGGUUCUGGCAUCGAUGAAGAACGCAGCGAAAUGCGAUAAGUAAUGUGAAUUGCAGAAUUCAGUGAAUCAUCGAAUCUUUGAACGCACAUUGCGCCCUUUGGUAUUCCGAAGGGCAUGCCUGUUCGAGCGUCAUUACAACCCUCAAGCUCUGCUUGGUAUUGGGCACCGUCCUUUGCGGGCGCGCCUCAAAGACCUCGGCGGUGGCGUCUUGCCUCAAGCGUAGUAGAACAUACAUCUCGCUUCGGAGCGCAGGGCGUCGCCCGCCGGACGAACCUUCUGAACUUUUCUCAAGGUUGACCUCGGAUCAGGUAGGGAUACCCGCUGAACUUAAGCAUAUCAAA